GGUUAAGCGACUAAGCGUACACGGUGGAUGCCCUGGCAGUCAGAGGCGAUGAAGGGCGUGCUAAUCUGCGAUAAGCGCCGGUAAGGUGAUAUGAACCGUUAUAACCGGCGAUACCCGAAUGGGGAAACCCAGUGUGAYUCGUCACACUAUCAUUAACUGAAUCCAUAGGUUAAUGAGGCGAACCGGGGGAACUGAAACAUCUAAGUACCCCGAGGAAAAGAAAUCAACCGAGAUUCCCCCAGUAGCGGCGAGCGAACGGGGAGGAGCCCAGAGCCUGAAUCAGCAUGUGUGUUAGUGGAAGCGUCUGGAAAGGCGCGCGAUACAGGGUGACAGCCCCGUACACAAAAGCGCAUGUGCUGUGAGCUCGAUGAGUAGGGCGGGACACGUGGUAUCCUGUCUGAAUAUGGGGGGACCAUCCUCCAAGGCUAAAUACUCCUGACUGACCGAUAGUGAACCAGUACCGUGAGGGAAAGGCGAAAAGAACCCCGGCGAGGGGAGUGAAAAAGAACCUGAAACCGUGUACGUACAAGCAGUGGGAGCACAGGUUUACCUGUGUGACUGCGUACCUUUUGUAUAAUGGGUCAGCGACUUAUAUUCUGUAGCAAGGUUAACCGMAUAGGGGAGCCGGAGGGAAACCGAGUCUUAAUUGGGCGUUAAGUUGCAGGGUAUAGACCCGAAACCCGGUGAUCUAGCCAUGGGCAGGUUGAAGGUUGGGUAACACUAACUGGAGGACCGAACCGACUAAUGUUGAAAAAUUAGCGGAUGACCUGUGGCUGGGGGUGAAAGGCCAAUCAAACCGGGAGAUAGCUGGUUCUCCCCGAAAGCUAUUUAGGUAGCGCCUCGUGAAUUCAUCUCCGGGGGUAGAGCACUGUUUCGGCUAGGGGGCCAUCCCGGCUUACCAACCCGAUGCAAACUGCGAAUACCGGAGAAUGUUAUCACGGGAGACACACGGCGGGUGCUAACGUCCGUCGUGAAGAGGGAAACAACCCAGACCGCCAGCUAAGGUCCCAAAGUCAUGGUUAAGUGGGAAACGAUGUGGGAAGGCCCAGACAGCCAGGAUGUUGGCUUAGAAGCAGCCAUCAUUUAAAGAAAGCGUAAUAGCUCACUGGUCGAGUCGGCCUGCGCGGAAGAUGUAACGGGGCUAAACCAUGCACCGAAGCUGCGGCAGCGA
This 1171-nucleotide ribosomal RNA is filed under the name Salmonella enterica. RNAcentral describes it as "partial 23S ribosomal RNA". The record is from RNAcentral. Lineage: Bacteria; Pseudomonadati; Pseudomonadota; Gammaproteobacteria; Enterobacterales; Enterobacteriaceae.